This 492-nucleotide ribosomal RNA is filed under the name uncultured bacterium. RNAcentral's name for it is "bacterial SSU rRNA". It matches the Rfam family "Bacterial small subunit ribosomal RNA", at positions 30 to 521 of the family's 1533-position model. The record is from RNAcentral.
AUUGAACGCUGGCGGCAUGCCUUACACAUGCAAGUCGAACGGUAACAGGCCGCAAGGUGCUGACGAGUGGCGAACGGGUGAGUAAUGUAUCGGAACGUGCCCAGUCGUGGGGGAUAACUGCUCGAAAGAGCAGCUAAUACCGCAUACGACCUGAGGGUGAAAGCGGGGGAGUCGCAAGACCUCGCGCGAUUGGAGCGGCCGAUAUCAGAUUAGGUAGUUGGUGGGGUAAAGGCCCACCAAGCCAACGAUCUGUAGCUGGUCUGAGAGGACGACCAGCCACACUGGGACUGAGACACGGCCCAGACUCCUACGGGAGGCAGCAGUGGGGAAUUUUGGACAAUGGACGCAAGUCUGAUCCAGCCAUGCCGCGUGCGGGAAGAAGGCCUUCGGUUGUAACCGCUUUGUCAGGGAAGAAAGGUUCCUUCUAAUACAGGGACUCAUGACGGUACCUGAAGAAUAAGCACCGGCUAACUACGUGCCAGCAGCCGCGGU